RNAcentral lists this ribosomal RNA (301 nucleotides) under uncultured bacterium. Its description in RNAcentral is "partial 16S ribosomal RNA". It matches the Rfam family "Bacterial small subunit ribosomal RNA", at positions 509 to 809 of the family's 1533-position model. The record is from RNAcentral.
CAGUCGCCGCGGGAAUACGUAGGUGGCAAGCGUUGUCCGGAAUUAUUGGGCGUAGAGCGCGCGCAGGCGGAUAGGUCAGUCUGUCUUAAAAGUUCGGGGCUUAACCCCGUGAUGGGAUGGAAACUGCCAAUCUAGAGUACAGGAGAGGAAAGCGGAAUUCCCAGUGUAGCGGUGAAAUGCGUAGAUAUUGGGAGGAACACCAGUGGCGAAGGCGGCUUUCUGGACUGCAACUGACGCUGAGGCUCGAAAGCCAGGGGAGCGAACGGGAUUAGAUACCCGCGUAGUCCCUGUCUCUUAUACA